RNAcentral lists this long non-coding RNA (745 nucleotides) under Anser brachyrhynchus (Pink-footed goose). RNAcentral describes it as "lncRNA (ENSABRG00000022433.1)". The record is from RNAcentral. Lineage: Eukaryota; Metazoa; Chordata; Aves; Anseriformes; Anatidae.
CUGAGAUUAAACACUGCUAUGCUGUUGCUUCUAGACUUGCAUGUUUUUGCUAUCCUACCUGUGUCAAUGUUAGUGGCUUUUUGGAGUCAAAUAGUUUAUUCUGCAGCUCCUCAGUGUGACAUCUGGAAACCUACCAGGUUAAAUGGAUAGUCAGCGACAAAUGCAGGAUCUUCAAAAUACUUUCUACAGAAAGCUGUUCCUGGGGGGAGAAUUCAGUGGAAUAUGGCUAACACUGAAGGAGGUCUUAUCUUUGGUAAAAGCAAUAGUGCUAGGAUUCUUGUUCCUUUUCUGGGCAAGUGCUGGCCAUGCCAUGGACUGCAGUCUGACAACAAGCCCUUUACAAGCUCUUUGCCACGAUUCAGUGAUCAUCUUUAAUCUGUAUAAUUCUGUUAUUUUCUCUGCUUACUCCCACUUAAGAAUGGCAAUAUCUACAGGUCAUGAGUGAAGGAAAAGUUCUGGGGAGUGCUGUUCUGAUGGUACUUGUCCCAGGCAAUGUGACUUUAUAACUGGGUGCUUACAGAAGAGUAAUUUCAGUUAAUCUAAUAAUUAGCAGUUUCAAGGAAUCCAUGGGAACCAGAGCUUUCUGUUGUAUUCUGUCUUUGUGAGUGGCGAUGUUUGGAUCAGUUUACUGACAUUGCACACCCUAGUGAGCAUAUACUCUAACAUCGAAGAACAGGCUAGUGCUGUGAUACUUCAAACAGUGUGGAAAAAAGCAUUCAGCUAUUGUUUUAAAUUGUCAUUGCUG